UGGGGAAUAUUGCACAAUGGGCGAAAGCCUGAUGCAGCGACGCCGCGUGAGGGAUGACGGCCUUCGGGUUGUAAACCUCUUUCAGCAGGGACGAAGCGCAAGUGACGGUACCCGCAGAAGAAGCACCGGCUAACUACGUGCCAGCAGCCGCGGUAAUACGUAGGGUGCAAGCGUUGUCCGGAAUUACUGGGCGUAAAGAGUUCGUAGGCGGUUUGUCGCGUCGUUUGUGAAAACCAGCAGCUCAACUGCUGGCUUGCAGGCGAUACGGGCAGACUUGAGUACUGCAGGGGAGACUGGAAUUCCUGGUGUAGCGGUGAAAUGCGCAGAUAUCAGGAGGAACACCGGUGGCGAAGGCGGGUCUCUGGGCAGUAACUGACGCUGAGGAACGAAAGCGUGGGUAGCGAACAGG
RNAcentral lists this ribosomal RNA (409 nucleotides) under Brucella melitensis. RNAcentral's name for it is "partial 16S ribosomal RNA". It matches the Rfam family "Bacterial small subunit ribosomal RNA", at positions 355 to 776 of the family's 1533-position model. RNAcentral also lists the same sequence under 2 other names. The record is from RNAcentral. Lineage: Bacteria; Pseudomonadati; Pseudomonadota; Alphaproteobacteria; Hyphomicrobiales; Brucellaceae.